This 29-nucleotide non-coding RNA is filed under the name Rattus norvegicus (Norway rat). Lineage: Eukaryota; Metazoa; Chordata; Mammalia; Rodentia; Muridae. The record is from RNAcentral.
UAGAAACACCCUGGAGGAAAUCCUAAGUC